GAUGCAACCGAGCUUCACUGCUUGCAUCAGGCAGGGGUCCCGGCGGCAGUGAGGGCUGGAAGGAGGUGGAACGGCCUCUGCAGAGAUGUGGGCAGCUGGUCAGGAUGGCCAUUCGGGCUCAGCACAGCAACGCAGCCCAGACUCAGACUGGGGAAGCAAACAGGGGCUGGACAGGCCAGGAGAGCCUGUCGGACAGUGAUCCUGAGAUGUGGGAGUUGCUGCAGAGGGAGAAGGACAGGCAGUGUCGUGGCCUGGAGCUCAUUGCCUCAGAGGUGGGACCUGGGGAGAUGGGCAGGGGUUGGGCCACCAUGGGUACAGGAAGUAACAAAGUUAUCUUAACUGAUAUUUCUCCAAAACCCCCUUUCACACUCAGGACCUUUCUUUGGGCUUUAUCUUCCUUUCUUAUCUCCCUCAAGCAAAGGCAGUGCAAGUCCAGUUUAUGGGGUUGGGACAUUUA
RNAcentral lists this small RNA (457 nucleotides) under Pan troglodytes (chimpanzee). RNAcentral's name for it is "retained intron". Lineage: Eukaryota; Metazoa; Chordata; Mammalia; Primates; Hominidae. The record is from RNAcentral.